Molecule: ribosomal RNA, 522 nt
Filed under: Streptomyces sp. SID8370
Lineage: Bacteria; Bacillati; Actinomycetota; Actinomycetes; Kitasatosporales; Streptomycetaceae
Description: bacterial SSU rRNA
Rfam family: Bacterial small subunit ribosomal RNA
Source: RNAcentral
CAUUCACGGAGAGUUUGAUCCUGGCUCAGGACGAACGCUGGCGGCGUGCUUAACACAUGCAAGUCGAACGAUGAACCGCUUUCGGGCGGGGAUUAGUGGCGAACGGGUGAGUAACACGUGGGCAAUCUGCCCUGCACUCUGGGACAAGCCCUGGAAACGGGGUCUAAUACCGGAUAUGACUGUUCAUCGCAUGGUGGAUGGUGUAAAGCUCCGGCGGUGCAGGAUGAGCCCGCGGCCUAUCAGCUUGUUGGUGAGGUAGUGGCUCACCAAGGCGACGACGGGUAGCCGGCCUGAGAGGGCGACCGGCCACACUGGGACUGAGACACGGCCCAGACUCCUACGGGAGGCAGCAGUGGGGAAUAUUGCACAAUGGGCGAAAGCCUGAUGCAGCGACGCCGCGUGAGGGAUGACGGCCUUCGGGUUGUAAACCUCUUUCAGCAGGGAAGAAGCGAAAGUGACGGUACCUGCAGAAGAAGCGCCGGCUAACUACGUGCCAGCAGCCGCGGUAAUACGUAGGGCGCA